Molecule: unclassified non-coding RNA, 249 nt
Filed under: rhizosphere metagenome
Description: partial ribosomal RNA internal transcribed spacer region
Source: RNAcentral
GUAGGUGAACCUGCGGAAGGAUCAUUACUGGGUUUAGGACUUCGUGUCCACUCACCCGCCCUUUGUCAUGAGACGCGAAAGCAACUCACAUCAUUUCGAUCCCUGGCUCUUGGGCGCCCCCUACUAUUGGCUUAGUGGGGUACCGUCCAUUAGCCGCGGGUCGGCAUUACAAACCCACGCGGAUUACUGAAGUCUGAUACAAUUUUUUAAACGAAAUUAAAACUUUCAACAACGGAUCUCUUGGUUCUG